CCUAAGGUAGCGAAAUUCCUUGUCGGGUAAGUUCCGACCCGCACGAAAGGCGUAACGAUUUGGGCACUGUCUCAACAACAGACUCGGUGAAAUUGUAAUUCCGGUGAAGAUGCCGGAUACCUGCGACAGGACGGAAAGACCCCAUGGAGCUUUACUGUAGCUUGACAUUGGGUCUUGGUACUACAUGUACAGGAUAGGUGGGAGGCUUUGAAACCAGGACGCCAGUUUUGGCGGAGCCAUCCUUGGGAUACCACCCUUGUAGUACUGGGACUCUAACCAUAGGCCAUGAAUCUGGUCUUGGGACACUGUCAGGUGGGCAGUUUGACUGGGGCGGUCGCCUCCCAAAAGGUAACGGAGGCGCUCAAAGGUUCUCUCAGUACGGUCGGAAAUCGUACGUAGAGUGUAAAGGCAAAAGAGAGCUUGAUUGCAAGACAUACAGGUCGAGCAAGGAUGAAAAUCGGACUUAGUGAUCCGGUGGUUCUGCGUGGAAGGGCCAUCGCUCAACGGAUAAAAGCUACCCUGGGGAUAACAGGCUUAUCUCCCCCAAGAGUCCACAUCGACGGGGAGGUUUGGCACCUCGAUGUCGGCUCAUCACAUCCUGGGGCUGUAGUAGGUCCCAAGGGUUGGGCUGUUCGCCCAUUAAAGUGGUACGCGAGCUGGGUUCAGAACGUCGUGAGACAGUUCGGUCCCUAUCCGUCGCAGGCGUAGGAAAUUUGAGAAGACCUGUCCUUAGUACGAGAGGACCGGGAUGGACGUACCUCUGGUGUACCAGUUGUUCUGCCAAGGGCAUGGCUGGGUAGCUAUGUACGGAAUGGAUAAGCGCUGAAAGCAUCUAAGCGCGAAGCCAACUUCAAGAUAAGAUUUCCCACCGCAAGGGUAAGACCCCAGAAAGACUAUCUGGUUGAUAGGUCGAAGGUGUAAGUGCAGCAAUGUAUUUAGCUUAUCGAUACUAAUAGGUCGAGGACUUGACCAA
RNAcentral lists this ribosomal RNA (973 nucleotides) under human gut metagenome. RNAcentral describes it as "bacterial LSU rRNA". It matches the Rfam family "Bacterial large subunit ribosomal RNA", at positions 1950 to 2925 of the family's 2925-position model. The record is from RNAcentral.